This 402-nucleotide ribosomal RNA is filed under the name uncultured eukaryote. Its description in RNAcentral is "bacterial SSU rRNA". It matches the Rfam family "Eukaryotic small subunit ribosomal RNA", at positions 592 to 998 of the family's 1831-position model. The record is from RNAcentral.
CAAUAGCGUAUAUUAAAGUUGUUGCGGUUAAAAGCUCGUAGUUGGAGUUCUGCCAGGUGUCGCUUGUCCGCCCAAGUGGUGUGUACAGGGGUACAUCUGGCCCUUUCAAGGGGAACGUAUCCCCACUUAAUUGUGAGGUGCGAGAUCCUUGACUUUUACUUUGAGGAAAUAAAGAGUGUUCCAAGCAGGCUCUCGUCGUGCAUAGCUCAGCAUGGAAUAAUAGCAUUGGACCUCGUCUCUACGCUGUUGGUUGCAAGAAACGAGGUAAUGAUAAAGAGGGAUAGUUGGGGGCGAUUCGUAUUUAACUGUCAGAGGUGGAAUUCUUAGAUUGCGUUACGACGAACUACUGCGAAAGCAUUUGCCAAGGAUGUUUUCAUUGAUCAAGAACGAAAGUAAUGGGGA